RNAcentral lists this ribosomal RNA (525 nucleotides) under uncultured Syndiniales. RNAcentral's name for it is "SSU rRNA". It matches the Rfam family "Eukaryotic small subunit ribosomal RNA", at positions 609 to 1138 of the family's 1831-position model. Lineage: Eukaryota; Dinophyceae; Syndiniales. The record is from RNAcentral.
GUUGUUGCGGUUAAAAGCUCGUAGUUGGAGUUCUGCCAGGUGCCGCCUGGUCCGCCCCAGUGGUGAGUACGUGGCGCGCAUUUGGCCCUUUCAAGGGGAGCGUAUCUGCACUUUAUUGUGUGGUGCGGGAUCCUUGACUUUUACUUUGAGGAAAUAGGAGUGUUCCGAGCAGGCUCUCGUCGUGCACAGCUCAGCAUGGAAUAAUAGCAUUGGACCUCGAUUCUAAGCUGUUGGUUGCCAGAAGCGAGGUAAUGAUGAAGAGGGAUAGUUGGGGGCAUUCGUAUUUAACUGUCAGAGGUGAAAUUCUUGUAUUUGUUAAAGACGGACUACUGCGAAAGCAUCUGCCAUGGAUGUUUUCAUUGAUCAAGAACGAAAGUUAGGGGAUCGAAGACGAUCAGAUACCGUCCUAGUCUUAACUAUAAACCAUGCCGGCUAGAGAUCGGAGGUUGUUCGUUUUGUGACGCCUUCAGCAUCUUGAGAGAAAUCAAAGCCUUUGGGUUCCGGGGGGAGUAUGGUCGCAAGGCU